CUCUUCUCUCCCGCUUCCCUCGCUGUGAAGAUGGCGCUCUCCAGGGUGUGCUGGGCUCGGUCGGCUGUGUGGGGCUCGGCAGUCACCCCUGGACAUUUCGUCACCCGGAGGCUGCAACUUGGUCGCUCUGGCCUGGCUUGGGGGGCCCCUCGGUCUUCAAAGCUUCACCUUUCUCCAAAGGCAGAUGUGAAGAACUUGAUGUCUUAUGUGGUAACCAAGACAAAAGCGAUUAAUGGGAAAUACCAUCGUUUCUUGGGUCGUCAUUUCCCCCGCUUCUAUGUUCUGUACACAAUCUUCAUGAAAGAAAGCCUUGAGCCGGGCCAUGCUUCUCACAUCUUACCUGCCUCCUCCCUUGUUGAGACAUCGUUUGAAGACUCAUACAACUGUGAUUCACCAACUGGACAAGGCUUUGGCAAAGCUGGGGAUUGGCCAGCUGACUGCUCAGGAAGUAAAAUCGGUAAGAGCUUGAUUGCAACAUCAACCCUCAAUCCUUGGUGUGCUUUUGAGCCUACGGCAGGCUGGAGGUUUACAGGGGCUCCUUGUCUUGUUUGUUAUAUAGAACCCAGCUUCUUUAUUCUCUCACUUCAUUUAUUUAUUUAUGAUUUAUUUUUAUUUAUUUAUUUAUUUUGAGACAGAGUCUCAUUCUGUUGCCCAGGCUAGAGUACAGUGGCACAGUCUUGGCUCCCUGCAACCUCUGCCUCCCGGUUCAAGUGAUCCUCCUACCUCAGCCUCCCAAGUAGCUGGAUUACAGGUGUGCACCACCACGCCCAGCUAAUUUUUUGUAUUUUUAGUAGAGAUGGUUUCACCAUGUUUGCCAGGCUGAUCUCAAACCCCUGGCCUCAAGUGAUCCAUCCACCCAAAGUGCCAAGACUACAGGUAUGAGCUACCGCACCCAGCAUAGUAAUUUA
RNAcentral lists this small RNA (908 nucleotides) under Pan troglodytes (chimpanzee). RNAcentral describes it as "retained intron". The record is from RNAcentral. Lineage: Eukaryota; Metazoa; Chordata; Mammalia; Primates; Hominidae.